UACGUAGGCAGCAAGCGUUGUUCGGAAUUACUGGCGUAAAGAGUGUGUAGGCGGUGCUCUAAGUCUGUCGUGAAAUCUCCCGGCUUAACUGGGAGGGUGCGGCGGAUACUAUUGUGCUAGAGGGUGGGAGAGGAAAGCGGAAUUCCUGGUGUAGCGGUGAAAUGCGUAGAUAUCAGGAGGAACACCUGCGGUGUAGACAGCUUUCUGGACCACUUCUGACGCUGAGACACGAAAGCGUGGGUAGCAAACAGG
This 252-nucleotide ribosomal RNA is filed under the name uncultured Acidobacteriota bacterium. RNAcentral's name for it is "uncultured Acidobacteria bacterium partial 16S ribosomal RNA". It matches the Rfam family "Bacterial small subunit ribosomal RNA", at positions 524 to 776 of the family's 1533-position model. Lineage: Bacteria; Pseudomonadati; Acidobacteriota. The record is from RNAcentral.